Molecule: ribosomal RNA, 559 nt
Filed under: uncultured Staphylococcus sp.
Lineage: Bacteria; Bacillati; Bacillota; Bacilli; Caryophanales; Staphylococcaceae
Description: bacterial SSU rRNA
Rfam family: Bacterial small subunit ribosomal RNA
Source: RNAcentral
UGCAAGUCGAGCGAACGGACGAGAAGCUUGCUUCUCUGAUGUUAGCGGCGGACGGGUGAGUAACACGUGGAUAACCUACCUAUAAGACUGGGAUAACUUCGGGAAACCGGAGCUAAUACCGGAUAAUAUUUUGAACCGCAUGGUUCAAAAGUGAAAGACGGUCUUGCUGUCACUUAUAGAUGGAUCCGCGCUGCAUUAGCUAGUUGGUAAGGUAACGGCUUACCAAGGCAACGAUGCAUAGCCGACCUGAGAGGGUGAUCGGCCACACUGGAACUGAGACACGGUCCAGACUCCUACGGGAGGCAGCAGUAGGGAAUCUUCCGCAAUGGGCGAAAGCCUGACGGAGCAACGCCGCGUGAGUGAUGAAGGUCUUCGGAUCGUAAAACUCUGUUAUUAGGGAAGAACAUAUGUGUAAGUAACUGUGCACAUCUUGACGGUACCUAAUCAGAAAGCCAUGGCUAACUACGUGCCAGCAGCCGCGGUAAUACGUAGGUGGCAAGCGUUAUCCGGAAUUAUUGGGCGUAAAGCGCGCGUAGGCGGUUUUUUAAGUCUGAUGUGA